GCGGGUGUAGCUCAGUGGUAGAGCGUCAGCUUCCCAAGCUGAAAGUCGAGGGUUCGAUCCCCUGCACCCGCU
This 72-nucleotide transfer RNA is filed under the name Phycisphaerales bacterium. RNAcentral's name for it is "tRNA-Gly". It matches the Rfam family "tRNA". From Rfam's summary of the family: Transfer RNA (tRNA) molecules are approximately 80 nucleotides in length. Their secondary structure includes four short double-helical elements and three loops (D, anti-codon, and T loops). Further hydrogen bonds mediate the characteristic L-shaped molecular structure. tRNAs have two regions of fundamental functional importance: the anti-codon, which is responsible for specific mRNA codon recognition, and the 3' end, to which the tRNAs corresponding amino acid is attached (by aminoacyl-tRNA synthetases). tRNAs cope with the degeneracy of the genetic code in two manners: having more than one tRNA (with a specific anti-codon) for a particular amino acid; and 'wobble' base-pairing, i.e. permitting non-standard base-pairing at the 3rd anti-codon position. Lineage: Bacteria; Pseudomonadati; Planctomycetota; Phycisphaerae; Phycisphaerales. The record is from RNAcentral.